RNAcentral lists this ribosomal RNA (253 nucleotides) under uncultured bacterium. RNAcentral's name for it is "partial 16S ribosomal RNA". It matches the Rfam family "Bacterial small subunit ribosomal RNA", at positions 524 to 776 of the family's 1533-position model. The record is from RNAcentral.
UACGUAGGGUGCAAGCGUUAAUCGGAAUUACUGGGCGUAAAGCGUGCGCAGGCGGUUGGGUAAGACAGAUGUGAAAUCCCCGGGCUUAACCUGGGAACUGCAUUUGUGACUGCACGGCUGGAGUGCGGCAGAGGGGGAUGGAAUUCCGCGUGUAGCAGUGAAAUGCGUAGAUAUGCGGAGGAACACCGAUGGCGAAGGCAAUCCCCUGGGCCUGCACUGACGCUCAUGCACGAAAGCGUGGGGAGCAAACAGG